This 251-nucleotide ribosomal RNA is filed under the name uncultured Lachnospiraceae bacterium. RNAcentral describes it as "partial 16S ribosomal RNA". It matches the Rfam family "Bacterial small subunit ribosomal RNA", at positions 88 to 339 of the family's 1533-position model. Lineage: Bacteria; Bacillati; Bacillota; Clostridia; Lachnospirales; Lachnospiraceae. The record is from RNAcentral.
UGACUGAGUGGCGGACGGGUGAGUAACGCGUGGGUAACCUGCCCUGUACAGGGGGAUAACAGCUGGAAACGGCUGCUAAUACCGCAUAAGCGCACGAGGAGACAUCUCCUUGUGUGAAAAACUCCGGUGGUACAGGAUGGGCCCGCGUCUGAUUAGCUGGUUGGCAGGGUAACGGCCUACCAAGGCAACGAUCAGUAGCCGGUCUGAGAGGAUGAACGGCCACAUUGGAACUGAGACACGGUCCAAACUCC